RNAcentral lists this ribosomal RNA (85 nucleotides) under Guyparkeria sp. SCN-R1. Lineage: Bacteria; Pseudomonadati; Pseudomonadota; Gammaproteobacteria; Chromatiales; Thioalkalibacteraceae. The record is from RNAcentral.
CCUGGCGUCCAUAGAGCGGUGGAACCACCUGUUCCCAUCCCGAACACAGCAGUGAAACGCCGCAUCGCCGAUGAUAGUGUGGGGC